RNAcentral lists this non-coding RNA (24 nucleotides) under Mus musculus (house mouse). Lineage: Eukaryota; Metazoa; Chordata; Mammalia; Rodentia; Muridae. The record is from RNAcentral.
UUAACUCAGGAGCUCAGGUCGUAC